Molecule: unclassified non-coding RNA, 1312 nt
Filed under: Hevea brasiliensis (rubber tree)
Lineage: Eukaryota; Viridiplantae; Streptophyta; Magnoliopsida; Malpighiales; Euphorbiaceae
Source: RNAcentral
CACCAUUUAUGAUCAUACUUAUAUAUAAUGGGUAAAUUACAAUGGAUAAUGAAUAUCAAUGGAAAUAUAUUACCGCUCAUAUGCUUGAAUAAAGGGAUUAUAAAUAAUAAUAAUUGAGUUAAUAAUUCACAAAAGCCAAAGGUGUAUAGAAGCCUUCAAAGGCUAUUAUUACAAUUUUUUUUUUCUUUUAUAUAUAAUAUGGAGAUUCGAAAAGAAAAGAUUUUAUCAUACUCUCCAAAUACACUAAUCUAAAUCUCAAAAAAGUGAUGCCAUCUUGUCAAAGCGCCUUCAAUCAUCAAUUGGAGAUGAAAUGGCAGUUGUUGAAACUUGGAUCAACUGUGACAAGCAUGGCAGUCCCACCAAAAUCGCAAGUCCCACCAGCGACCUUAGUCUUCUGCCAGUAACUAUUAAAAGCGAAAGAAGCAUGUGCUACCAAAUUAUUGGGCUGGAAGCAUGGCCCGUUUUGCUGAAUUGACUUGCAAUCUGCUCCUGAUCCACACGCAUAGUCCAAUGCUUCUUGAAUUAUUGGAUCUGGCACUGUAGGCUUUGCAACACACCAUACGGCAAAUCGUGGCUUUUUAUGAGGUGGAGGAGGAGGCGGCGGCAUAAUGGGGGGUGCUUGGUGAACCAAUGGUGGUUGAUAGAUUGGUGGGCUAGGCCCAUGGUAAUGUGGGCUAGGAGGGAUACUUGGUGGGCCAAGGCCAUAUUGUGGUGGUCUUGGUAUUGGUGUGUACGUGGGUGGGGUUUUGCUCGGAAAAUUAGAGGAUGAAGGAGAAGGUUGCAUAGAAGGUGGCGGUGGCGUAAAGGGUGAGCUUAAACCAGAGGGAGGAGUUUCUGCAAGCGGUGGUAGUGAUUCUAAAGGCGGCAGAGCAUAUGAAGAACCCAAGCUAUAUGACUCAACAUUUGUUGGUUCUAUUGGUUUGUUCGUUCUUUGUUCAACAAACAAUCUUGCAUCACCGAGAAGGAAGAUGCUGGCUAUAAAGGUUAUGUAUACACUUGAAAUGCUGAAUUUGAAGUGCUCAAAUCUUGGCUUCAUUUGAAGAAAUGCUCAAGAACUCUUUCAAUUACCAGUAGCUGUGGAUUUUCUGCUACACAAGCAAACACAUGCAGAUAUAUUGAUAUAUAAGCUCCGAUGAAGAAUCCAUUCAUCGUGGAGAAGAUACAAUGAGGCAACACUGGCCCACUUUAUGUGGUGAACAACCGACAGAUCUCUAAGCCACAAUUCACAAAGCGUAAAGCUUUGCAGGAGAUAUUAAUUUCUAGCAGUGCUUUAAAAUUAAAUAGUUUAGUGAAUCCCUCUGUUCAUUAAUUU